RNAcentral lists this long non-coding RNA (528 nucleotides) under Capsicum annuum. RNAcentral describes it as "long non-coding RNA (CANN_LNC018797)". Lineage: Eukaryota; Viridiplantae; Streptophyta; Magnoliopsida; Solanales; Solanaceae. The record is from RNAcentral.
ACUUGUUUCUCAGAGAAUUCUACAUUACAAUUGUGUUUCAAUAGUCAAAAGAUACCUAAUUAAAUCCUAAGCUGGGUAUUUAUAGGCUCUUAAAAAGUGGGAAUUUAAAAUUCAAACAUAGGCUGCCGCAUCAUUGGUUGACGACCAAAGUGACGGUCCAUCGUAAUACUGACGGCCCGUUACCAAGCCUGUCGCUGGGACUCUGACUUCCAUGUUGUCUGUUUAAGGUUAAUAGCCAAAGUGACGGUCCGUCGUAAGCUUGAAGGCCCGUCAACCAGUCUGUCAAUGAGAUCCUGAAUUCCAUGAUUUCUGUUUAAGACCGACGGAUACAGUGAUGGUCCGCCAUUGUCCUGACGAUCCGUCACUUGGUCCGUCACUGGGGUCCUUGAUGACUUCAUUUCUGCUUAAGUCUAACGGACACAACGACGGUCCGUCGCAAGCCUGACGGCCCGUCAGUUAGUCCAUCACAUGCAAUCAUUUCCUGCUUUUCCAAGUUAUUCCUUCUUCUGAGUCAUUUUUUUGAGAACA